GAUGAACGCUGGCGGCGUGCCUAAUACAUGCAAGUCGAGCGAACAGACGAGGAGCUUGCUCCUCUGACGUUAGCGGCGGACGGGUGAGUAACACGUGGAUAACCUACCUAUAAGACUGGGAUAACUUCGGGAAACCGGAGCUAAUACCGGAUAAUAUAUUGAACCGCAUGGUUCAAUAGUGAAAGACGGUUUUGCUGUCACUUAUAGAUGGAUCCGCGCCGCAUUAGCUAGUUGGUAAGGUAACGGCUUACCAAGGCAACGAUGCGUAGCCGACCUGAGAGGGUUAUCGGCCACACUGGAACUGAGACACGGUCCAGACUCCUACGGGAGGAAGCAGUAGGGAAUCUUCCGCAAUGGGCGAAAGCCUGACGGAGCAACGCCGCGUGAGUGAUGAAGGUCUUCGGAUCGUAAAACUCUGUUAUUAGGGAAGAACAAAUGUGUAAGUAACUAUGCACGUCUUGACGGUACCUAAUCAGAAAGCCACGGCUAACUACGUG
RNAcentral lists this ribosomal RNA (497 nucleotides) under uncultured bacterium. RNAcentral's name for it is "partial 16S ribosomal RNA". It matches the Rfam family "Bacterial small subunit ribosomal RNA", at positions 28 to 507 of the family's 1533-position model. The record is from RNAcentral.